Molecule: non-coding RNA, 45 nt
Organism: Cavia porcellus (domestic guinea pig)
Lineage: Eukaryota; Metazoa; Chordata; Mammalia; Rodentia; Caviidae
Source: Rfam
AUAUAGGUCCUUUUGAGGACCAUAAAUUUGGUUCUAAGAUUUCAU